CUUGUGGCCCCAAGUCAGGCGAGGCCACCCGCUGAGUUUAAGCAUAUAAAUAAGCGGAGGAGGAGAAACUUACGAGGAUUCCCCUAGUAACGGCGA
This 96-nucleotide ribosomal RNA is filed under the name Scaphochlamys kunstleri var. rubra. RNAcentral describes it as "partial 28S rRNA". It matches the Rfam family "Eukaryotic large subunit ribosomal RNA", at positions 1 to 92 of the family's 3401-position model. Lineage: Eukaryota; Viridiplantae; Streptophyta; Magnoliopsida; Zingiberales; Zingiberaceae. The record is from RNAcentral.